AUGCCAGUUCAGUGUAUCUGCUUAACUUUACAGUGUUUUGCAGAGCAUGUUUUAAAAUGACACUGGUAAAGAAAAGCCACAGUACGAGCCUUAAAGACUUUGUAGUCUUUGAGGUCCCAAGAGAUGGCUACAUCU
Non-coding RNA from Calypte anna (Anna's hummingbird), 135 nucleotides. Lineage: Eukaryota; Metazoa; Chordata; Aves; Apodiformes; Trochilidae. The record is from Rfam.